Molecule: ribosomal RNA, 253 nt
Filed under: uncultured bacterium
Lineage: Bacteria
Description: partial 16S ribosomal RNA
Rfam family: Bacterial small subunit ribosomal RNA
Source: RNAcentral
AACGUAGGAGACAAACGUUAUCCGGAGUUACUGGGCGUAAAGCGCGUGUAGGCGGCUAUGUAAGUCGGGCGUGAAAUCCCACGGCUCAACCGUGGAAGUGCACCCGAAACUGCGUAGCUAGAGUCCUGGAGAGGAAGGUGGAAUGCUUGGUGUAGAGGUGAAAUUCGUAGAUAUCAAGCGGAACACCGGUGGCGAAGGCGGCCUUCUGGACAGUGACUGACGCUGAGACGCGAAAGCGUGGGGAGCAAACAGG